RNAcentral lists this ribosomal RNA (633 nucleotides) under uncultured bacterium. Its description in RNAcentral is "bacterial SSU rRNA". It matches the Rfam family "Bacterial small subunit ribosomal RNA", at positions 59 to 687 of the family's 1533-position model. The record is from RNAcentral.
CAGUCGAGCGGUAGAGAGGUGCUUGCACCUCUUGAGAGCGGCGGACGGGUGAGUAAAGCCUAGGAAUCUGCCUGGUAGUGGGGGAUAACGCUCGGAAACGGACGCUAAUACCGCAUACGUCCUACGGGAGAAAGCAGGGGACCUUCGGGCCUUGCGCUAUCAGAUGAGCCUAGGUCGGAUUAGCUAGUUGGUGAGGUAAUGGCUCACCAAGGCGACGAUCCGUAACUGGUCUGAGAGGAUGAUCAGUCACACUGGAACUGAGACACGGUCCAGACUCCUACGGGAGGCAGCAGUGGGGAAUAUUGGACAAUGGGCGAAAGCCUGAUCCAGCCAUGCCGCGUGUGUGAAGAAGGUCUUCGGAUUGUAAAGCACUUUAAGUUGGGAGGAAGGGCAUUAACCUAAUACGUUAGUGUUUUGACGUUACCGACAGAAUAAGCACCGGCUAACUCUGUGCCAGCAGCCGCGGUAAUACAGAGGGUGCAAGCGUUAAUCGGAAUUACUGGGCGUAAAGCGCGCGUAGGUGGUUCGUUAAGUUGGAUGUGAAAUCCCCGGGCUCAACCUGGGAACUGCAUUCAAAACUGUCGAGCUAGAGUAUGGUAGAGGGUGGUGGAAUUUCCUGUGUAGCGGUGAAAU